RNAcentral lists this ribosomal RNA (546 nucleotides) under Aspergillus sp. RNAcentral describes it as "SSU rRNA". It matches the Rfam family "Eukaryotic small subunit ribosomal RNA", at positions 579 to 1130 of the family's 1831-position model. The record is from RNAcentral. Lineage: Eukaryota; Fungi; Ascomycota; Eurotiomycetes; Eurotiales; Aspergillaceae.
GUAAUUCCAGCUCCAAUAGCGUAUAUUAAAGUUGUUGCAGUUAAAAAGCUCGUAGUUGAACCUUGGGUCUGGCUGGCCGGUCCGCCUCACCGCGAGUACUGGUCCGGCUGGACCUUUCCUUCUGGGGAACCUCAUGGCCUUCACUGGCUGUGGGGGGAACCAGGACUUUUACUGUGAAAAAAUUAGAGUGUUCAAAGCAGGCCUUUGCUCGAAUACAUUAGCAUGGAAUAAUAGAAUAGGACGUGCGGUUCUAUUUUGUUGGUUUCUAGGACCGCCGUAAUGAUUAAUAGGGAUAGUCGGGGGCGUCAGUAUUCAGCUGUCAGAGGUGAAAUUCUUGGAUUUGCUGAAGACUAACUACUGCGAAAGCAUUCGCCAAGGAUGUUUUCAUUAAUCAGGGAACGAAAGUUAGGGGAUCGAAGACGAUCAGAUACCGUCGUAGUCUUAACCAUAAACUAUGCCGACUAGGGAUCGGGCGGUGUUUCUAUGAUGACCCGCUCGGCACCUUACGAGAAAUCAAAGUUUUUGGGUUCUGGGGGGAGUAUGGUC